AAAAUGAUUUGGUGUUGGGCCAGUUCCUUAUGCAUUCUGCAUUCAUGUGUAUAGGAUUCAAAGACGUUCCAAAUAUUGAUCAUAAACCAAGUGUAUAUGAAUUAAUUAAAUAGCAUAUUUCUGGCCCAAAUAUGAGGAAAACCAUAACUUUUUACUGUAAAUCAGGAGAGAUUGUUUUAUCCCCAAAUAAACUAGGAUGUUUCAAGUCAUGUUUCAGCAAUUUGGAGACCUACAAACUAUCUGCAAGCAAGCACAACAACCAUACUCUAAUCUACUAGAUAGUAGUGAGAAUUUAGUGCUUGAAUUCAGGCUGCUUGAAUUCAGUAUAUCCUUCUCUAUGCUGAUUUUCAAGUAGAUAUUCUGUAGCUCAGCUAGAUAAUCUUUUAAAAGCAAAAAAAAAAUUAAGUUUAAAGUGUAGUUGCUAAGAGCUGCUCUUCACAGGUGACAUCGCUAGGAGUCUUUGAAGAUAUGUAAUUGUAACGUAUUGUGGGGUAUAUAUAAUACAUACAAUAAACCAUUUUAUAAACCUUGGCAAUCUUAUAAAUAAGGGGGCACUCGAUGUUAAAUCUUAGUAUAUUUAAUUUCUUCUGUGUGCCUGUGAGGUUGAUAGAGAGUUAAAAUAUUUAAUUGACUACAUUGCUAAUGAACAGACUACCCAUAAUCCUGAUCUUGGCUCAUUUCACUCAUUGGAGUUCCCAUGAUGAAUACCAAGCGUGGAGACCGGCCUUGUAGUAAGUUGGCAUGACUAGUGUUGCCCUAAGAAUGUGGUAUUUAUUACAGCAUCUUAUUCAGAUUCUAGUGGGAGAAGCGUUCAGAUAUGCAGUGUGUUAACUCAUUGUAGAUAUUGUUUCUAAAAACACAUUUUAUUGUUAGGUAUGGGAAUAGAGUCAUAAUAACUUUCAAAUUCAGAAAAUAUGUGAAUAAAUAACACCCUCCCAACACAUAGAUAUAUAUAUGUAGCUAGCACACCUAGAUACAUGUGAAGAAAAGAGAUUCUAUAAGACCAUUUUUGAUUUCUUGGGCUUUGGCUUACACAGUUGACUAUAUCUGAUCACGUGCUUAUUUUAUGUAAUACAAGCCAAAUCAUUAAUUACUCUGCUGCUAGUUCUUGGAAAGCAAGGCCACGGUGCUCUUUAAUCUUCCAAGCUGCAAAGCUCAUUAGGAUUUUUACAUGAUGUCAGAAGUGGCAUGCGCUUCACUGAGUUGUUUAUGCUGUGACCAUAUGGUUUAGGAAUGAACAAAAACUCUAUGAACAUGCCUUUAGGAUUGGAUUGUAGUGUCCGUGUGUAUUUUAUUUCUGACUUCUCGUUCAUAAUUUGAAGAGAAAUAUAGACGAACUCUUUCCACAUCUUAGUCUUUUCUCAAUAGCCAGUUACAGAAUGCUUACCAUAAAAGUAAACAAAUUAAUAUAAGGACAAAUUGGCAUCUCUGUUACUAAGCUGUAAGCCAUAUCUUAAUUGGUGUGAUAUGUUUAAACUCUUCAUUGGAGAUGUUUCCUAUCAUUAAAACACAAACCAAACAAACAAACAAAAAAAACUUGUCAGUCUCUUCUUUACAGAGUUUAGAUUUUAGGGCUCUGUAUGUGAUUAAAUAACCAGGUUCUUAUUUAUGUGUUAAAUGAAUAAAUUAGUGAAUUACUGAGAAAAAUUUUAUUCCAAAAAAAUUAAUAAAUCCAAAAGUAUUUUAGCCACUGGGGAAAAUAGACACAUUAUGGAAUUGAGAGCAUUGUGAGGCACAGGUGAUGUGUGCAAUGUACAUUUAGAAUUACUAAUUCUCCUUUAGCAUGUAACUUAAAGAAAAGCAACAUUACUAAAAAAUAAUUAGUAAUUUGAACAAUAAUCCAUAAUGUUUACCCACAGAGAACAUGCUUCUUAUGUAGAUUACCAUGAAUAUUUUGUUGAGAGGGAUUUGAAUGUUAGAUAUUAGAUGUGCUAGACAGAUUAUCUAUUAUAAAGGAUGAGAAAGAAAAGGAUUCUUUGAAGUGAUUUUAAAGUCACACUUUAAAAACUCCUAAGACAAUGAAUGAAGCUAAUUAAUUAAUGAAAUGACCUUCUGCUUCUCGAUAGAAGGAUAUGAGUGGGUGGGGCCAGGGAGGUGUGGUAGCUUCCCUCCCUCCCCAUCCAGGUGUUGGAUCUACAUGUUCAGGAGACAAGACUUUUAUUUUAAUUUUAUAAGCAAGUCUAGUGCAUUAUUGUCCAGUGUGAAAUUUAUGUUAAAACAGUAGACAAAGGCUCAGCAUUUUUGCUACAGCAGAGUUGUGUACAACAUUGAAACUAUUGCUGCAAUGUUUACCUGUGCAGCAUGCUAACCCCCACACACACUCUAUAUGCAAAGCAUUUUUAAAAAAGAAGCCCCACUGUUUAGAUCGUGCAGUUCGAACUUACAGAACAAAUAUGCUGCCCUAUCGCCACGGUACACAGAUAGAAAACAUGACUGAGCUGUAAAGCCAUU
This 2451-nucleotide long non-coding RNA is filed under the name Mus musculus (house mouse). RNAcentral describes it as "long non-coding RNA chr13:83735130-83737581". The record is from RNAcentral. Lineage: Eukaryota; Metazoa; Chordata; Mammalia; Rodentia; Muridae.